This is a long non-coding RNA of Eupeodes corollae, 216 nucleotides long. RefSeq lists it as uncharacterized. Lineage: Eukaryota; Metazoa; Arthropoda; Insecta; Diptera; Syrphidae. The record is from RefSeq and is a predicted model, not a curated record. The transcript has 2 exons.
GAAAUAUGAAGAUCAAUGCAAAAAUGGCGACUCCGAUUGAGGAAAAAGUGGAUCAGAAUUUGAAGAUUCGAACCGGGAUGGUGACAGUCAGCGAUGGCAAAAGCAAACCCGAACCACUGAGACUGAAUUUGACGAUGGAACUAUUGACGUUGCAGAAAUUGGAAAUUGUCACGCCUACGAAUCCAAUGUUUAAUGGGCCGCCCACAGAAUCUAAGG